GACUAACGCUGGCGGCGUGUCUUAGACAUGCAAGUCGAACGGGUUGCUAUUUUGUAGCAAUACAAGAUAGCGCUAGUGGCGAACGGGUGAGUAGUACAAAAGUAAUUUGCCUCAGAGUGGAGCAUAACCCCGAGAAAUCGGGGCUAAUUCUCCAUAUUCUCGGUAGACGCAAGUCUACUGCGGAAAGGCUUCGGUCGCUCUGAGAGAAGCUCUUGGCCUAUCAGUUUGUUGGUGAGAUAACAGCCCACCAAGGCAAUGACGGGUAGGGGGUGUGAGAGCAUGACCCCCCACAUGGGAACUGAGACACGGUCCCAACUCCUACGGGAGGCAGCAGUCUAGAAAUUGGGCAAUGGGCGAAAGCCUGACCCAGCGACGCCGCGUGAGGGAUGAAGUUCUUCGGAAUGUAAACCUCUGUUGAGGGGAACGAUAAUGACAGUACCCCUCGAGGAAGCCUCGGCUAACUCCGUG
RNAcentral lists this ribosomal RNA (468 nucleotides) under uncultured bacterium. RNAcentral describes it as "bacterial SSU rRNA". It matches the Rfam family "Bacterial small subunit ribosomal RNA", at positions 28 to 507 of the family's 1533-position model. The record is from RNAcentral.